AUACUUACCUGGCAGAGGAGAUACCAUGAUCAUGAAGGUGGUUUCCCCCAGGGCAAGGCUCAUUCAUUGCACUCUGGAUAUGCUGAUCCCUGUGAUUUCAAGGAAAUGUGGGUAACUCGACUGCAUAAUUUGGGGUAGUGGGGGACUGCAUUUGCGCUCUCCCCUA
Molecule: small nuclear RNA, 166 nt
Organism: Suncus etruscus (white-toothed pygmy shrew)
Lineage: Eukaryota; Metazoa; Chordata; Mammalia; Eulipotyphla; Soricidae
Product: U1 spliceosomal RNA
Exons: 1
Source: RefSeq, a predicted model, not a curated record